This 61-nucleotide transfer RNA is filed under the name Morone saxatilis (striped sea-bass). RNAcentral describes it as "tRNA-Ser". The record is from RNAcentral. Lineage: Eukaryota; Metazoa; Chordata; Actinopteri; Moronidae.
UAUAAAUUUGUUUGUUUAAAACAUCAAGCGUUAGACUUCCAUUUAAUAAAGUUACUUAUGG